UGCUCCCUGAUGUUAGCGGCGGACGGGUGAGUAACACGUGGGUAACCUGCCUGUAAGACUGGGAUAACUCCGGGAAACCGGGGCUAAUACCGGAUGCUUGAUUGAACCGCAUGGUUCAAUUAUAAAAGGUGGCUUUUAGCUACCACUUACAGAUGGACCCGCGGCGCAUUAGCUAGUUGGUGAGGUAACGGCUCACCAAGGCNACGAUGCGUAGCCGACCUGAGAGGGUGAUCGGCCACACUGGGACUGAGACACGGCCCAGACUCCUACGGGAGGCAGCAGUAGGGAAUCUUCCGCAAUGGACGAAAGUCUGACGGAGCAACGCCGCGUGAGUGAUGAAGGUUUUCGGAUCGUAAAACUCUGUUGUUAGGGAAGAACAAGUACCGUUCGAAUAGGGCGGUACCUUGACGGUACCUAACCAGAAAGCCACGGCUAACUACGUGCCAGCAGCCGCGGUAAUACGUAGGUGGCAAGCGUUGUCCGGAAUUAUUGGGCGUAAAGCGCGCGCAGGCGGUUUCUUAAGUCUGAUGUGAAAGCCCCCGGCUCAACCGGGGAGGGUCAUUGGAAACUGGGGAACUUGAGUGCAGAAGAGGAGAGUGGAAUUCCACGUGUAGCGGUGAAAUGCGUAGAGAUGUGGAGGAACACCAGUGGCGAAGGCGACUCUCUGGUCUGUAACUGACGCUGAGGCGCGAAAGCGUGGGGAGCGAACAGGAUUAGAUACCCUGGUAGUCCACGCCGUAAACGAUGAGUGCUAAGUGUUAGAGGGUUUCCGCC
Molecule: ribosomal RNA, 774 nt
Filed under: bacterium VIII.18
Lineage: Bacteria
Description: bacterial SSU rRNA
Rfam family: Bacterial small subunit ribosomal RNA
Source: RNAcentral